This 73-nucleotide transfer RNA is filed under the name Camelus bactrianus (Bactrian camel). It matches the Rfam family "tRNA". From Rfam's summary of the family: Transfer RNA (tRNA) molecules are approximately 80 nucleotides in length. Their secondary structure includes four short double-helical elements and three loops (D, anti-codon, and T loops). Lineage: Eukaryota; Metazoa; Chordata; Mammalia; Artiodactyla; Camelidae. RNAcentral also lists the same sequence under 1 other name. The record is from Rfam by way of RNAcentral.
GAGGGUAUAGCUCAAAUGGUAGACUGUAUGCUUAGCAUGCAUGAGGUCCUAGGUUCAAUCCCCAGUACCUCCA